This 483-nucleotide ribosomal RNA is filed under the name uncultured bacterium. RNAcentral describes it as "bacterial SSU rRNA". It matches the Rfam family "Bacterial small subunit ribosomal RNA", at positions 26 to 518 of the family's 1533-position model. The record is from RNAcentral.
AGGACGAACGCUGGCGGCGUGCUUCAUACAUGCAAGUCGAACGAGGUCCAUCGAGUGGCAACACUCGUGAAGACCUAGUGGCGAACGGGUGAGUAACACGUGAGGAACCUGCCCCGAUCUCUGGGAUAACAGUGGGAAACCGCUGCUAAUACCAGAUGGGCUCGGAUGACGACAUCGUCGACCGAGGAAAGCUUUUGCGGACCGGGAGGGCCUCGCGGCCUAUCAGCUUGUUGGUGGGGUAACGGCCUACCAAGGCAUCGACGGGUAGCUGGUCUGAGAGGACGACCAGCCACACUGGGACUGAGACACGGCCCAGACUCCUACGGGAGGCAGCAGUAGGGAAUCUUGCGCAAUGGGCGAAAGCCCUGACGCAGCAACGCCGCGUGGGGGAUGAAGGCCCUCGGGUUGUAAACCCCUUUCAGCAGGAACGAAUCUGACGGUACCUGCAGAAGAAGGUCCGGCCAACUACGUGCCAGCCGCCGC